RNAcentral lists this ribosomal RNA (512 nucleotides) under uncultured bacterium. RNAcentral's name for it is "partial 16S ribosomal RNA". It matches the Rfam family "Bacterial small subunit ribosomal RNA", at positions 28 to 523 of the family's 1533-position model. The record is from RNAcentral.
GACGAACGCUGGCGGCGUGCCUAAUACAUGCAAGUCGAGCGGAACUGGGGGAGCUUGCUCCUUCCAGUUUAGCGGCGGACGGGUGAGUAACACGUGGGCAACCUGCCCUGCAGAUCGGGAUAACUCCGGGAAACCGGUGCUAAUACCGAAUAGUUUGGCGCCUCUCCUGAGGCGCCGCGGAAAGACGGUUUCGGCUGUCACUGCAGGAUGGGCCCGCGGCGCAUUAGCUAGUUGGGGGGGUAACGGCCCACCAAGGCGACGAUGCGUAGCCGACCUGAGAGGGUGACCGGCCACACUGGGACUGAGACACGGCCCAGACUCCUACGGGAGGCAGCAGUAGGGAAUCUUCCGCAAUGGACGCAAGUCUGACGGAGCAACGCCGCGUGAGUGACGAAGGUUUUCGGAUCGUAAAACUCUGUUGUGAGGGAAGAACACGUACCAACUAACUAUUGGUACCUUGACGGUACCUCACCAGAAAGCCACGGCUAACUACGUGCCAGCCGCCGCAGUAA